GUUAGAUUUAGUUCAAAUUCAAACCAAUUUGAAUUCAAAACACAACCACUUGAUCCUUAUCCAAGAGGGGUGCCAAAAGGGUGAGGCAUGAGACAUUUCUCAUGUAAUUCUCUUCUCAAUUGUUGCACAAAAAAUUCAGCCUCUUAAGGGUGGCAUUCAGAGGAACUUAGGAUAAGGAUGGAGGUACGAUUCAAAAUCAAAAAUCUUUCAAACUUGAAUUCAGAAUCCAAGUUUUAUCCUCUCCACUUGGAUUAAGAGGAGGGGUGAGAGAAUAUUUGUGGGCAU
Molecule: long non-coding RNA, 285 nt
Filed under: Elaeis guineensis (African oil palm)
Lineage: Eukaryota; Viridiplantae; Streptophyta; Magnoliopsida; Arecales; Arecaceae
Description: long non-coding RNA (EGUI_LNC040036)
Source: RNAcentral